This 380-nucleotide ribosomal RNA is filed under the name uncultured cyanobacterium. RNAcentral's name for it is "bacterial SSU rRNA". It matches the Rfam family "Bacterial small subunit ribosomal RNA", at positions 376 to 770 of the family's 1533-position model. Lineage: Bacteria; Bacillati; Cyanobacteriota. The record is from RNAcentral.
CGAAAGCCUGACGGAGCAAUACCGCGUGAGGGAGGAAGGCUCUAGGAUUGUAAACCUCUUUUCUCAGGGAAGAACAAAAUGACGGUACCUGAGGAAUAAGCAUCGGCUAACUCCGUGCCAGCAGCCGCGGUAAUACGGAGGAUGCAAGCGUUAUCCGGAUUUAUUGGGCGUAAAGCGUCCGCAGGUGGCAGUUCAAGUCUGCUGUCAAAGGUCGGGGCUCAACCCCGAACAGGCAGUGGAAACUGAACAGCUAGAGUACGGUAGGGGCAGAGGGAAUUCCCAGUGUAGCGGUGAAAUGCGUAGAGAUUGGGAAGAACACCGGUGGCGAAAGCGCUCUGCUAGGCCGAAACUGACACUCAUGGACGAAAGCUAGGGGAGCG